Molecule: transfer RNA, 62 nt
Filed under: Sclomina erinacea
Lineage: Eukaryota; Metazoa; Arthropoda; Insecta; Hemiptera; Reduviidae
Description: tRNA-Ala
Rfam family: tRNA
About the family: Transfer RNA (tRNA) molecules are approximately 80 nucleotides in length. Their secondary structure includes four short double-helical elements and three loops (D, anti-codon, and T loops). Further hydrogen bonds mediate the characteristic L-shaped molecular structure. tRNAs have two regions of fundamental functional importance: the anti-codon, which is responsible for specific mRNA codon recognition, and the 3' end, to which the tRNAs corresponding amino acid is attached (by aminoacyl-tRNA synthetases). tRNAs cope with the degeneracy of the genetic code in two manners: having more than one tRNA (with a specific anti-codon) for a particular amino acid; and 'wobble' base-pairing, i.e. permitting non-standard base-pairing at the 3rd anti-codon position.
Source: RNAcentral
GGGGUUGUAGUUAAUUAUAACAUUUAAUUUGCAAUUAAAAAGUACUUGAUAAGUCUGCCUCA